UGCCAGCAGCCGCGGUAAUACAGAGGGUGCAAACGUUGCUCGGAUUUACUGGGCGUAAAGCGCGUGUAGGCGGACUCGCAAGUCGGUUGUGAAAGCCCGGGGCUCAACCCCGGAAGUGCAUUGGAUACUGGCAGUCUUGAGUAUGGGAGAGGAAAGUGGAAUUCCGAGUGUAGGAGUGAAAUCCGUAGAUAUUCGGAGGAACACCAGUGGCGAAGGCGGCUUUCUGGACCAAUACUGACGCUGAGACGCGAAAGCGUGGGGAGCAAACAGGAUUAGAUA
Molecule: ribosomal RNA, 279 nt
Filed under: uncultured bacterium
Lineage: Bacteria
Description: partial 16S ribosomal RNA
Rfam family: Bacterial small subunit ribosomal RNA
Source: RNAcentral